RNAcentral lists this ribosomal RNA (396 nucleotides) under uncultured bacterium. Its description in RNAcentral is "partial 16S ribosomal RNA". It matches the Rfam family "Bacterial small subunit ribosomal RNA", at positions 523 to 918 of the family's 1533-position model. The record is from RNAcentral.
AUACGUAGGGGGCAAGCGUUAUCCGGAUUUACUGGGUGUAAAGGGAGCGCAGACGGCAGUGCAAGUCUGAAGUGAAAUGCCGGGGCUCAACCCCGGAAUUGCUUUGGAAACUGCAUAGCUAGAGUAUCGGAGGGGUAAGCGGAAUUCCUAGUGUAGCGGUGAAAUGCGUAGAUAUUAGGAGGAACACCGGUGGCGAAGGCGGCUUACUGGACGAUAACUGACGUUGAGGCUCGAAAGCGUGGGGAGCAAACAGGAUUAGAUCCCCUGGUAGUCCACGCCGUAAACGAUGAAUACUAGGUGUCGGCAUCUAAGAGAUGUCGGUGCCGCCGCAAACGCAUUAAGUAUUCCACCUGGGGAGUACGUUCGCAAGAAUGAAACUCAAAUGAAUUGACGGGG